RNAcentral lists this ribosomal RNA (201 nucleotides) under uncultured prokaryote. RNAcentral's name for it is "partial 16S ribosomal RNA". It matches the Rfam family "Bacterial small subunit ribosomal RNA", at positions 524 to 724 of the family's 1533-position model. The record is from RNAcentral.
UACGGAGGGUGCAAGCGUUGUUUGGAAUUAUUGGGCGUAAAGGGCAGGUAGGUGGUCUUGCAAGUCUACUGUGAAAUCCCUGGGCUUAACCCAGGAAGUGCGGUGGAUACUGCAAGACUAGAGUGCCGGAGGGGUGCGUGGAAUUCCCGGUAUAGCGGUGAAAUGCGUAGAUAUCGGGAGGAACACCAGAGGCGAAAGCGG